Molecule: ribosomal RNA, 253 nt
Filed under: uncultured bacterium
Lineage: Bacteria
Description: partial 16S ribosomal RNA
Rfam family: Bacterial small subunit ribosomal RNA
Source: RNAcentral
UACGGAGGGGGCUAGCGUUGUUCGGAAUCACUGGGCGUAAAGCGUACGUAGGCGGCUUGCCAAGUCAGGGGUGAAAGCCUGGGGCUCAACCUCAGAACUGCCCUUGAAACUGGCUCGCUUGAACAUAGGAGAGGUGAGUGGAAUUCCGAGUGUAGAGGUGAAAUUCGUAGAUAUUCGGAGGAACACCAGUGGCGAAGGCGGCAUCCUGGACCGAUACUGACGAUGAGGUGCGAAAGCGUGGGGAGCAAACAGG